This is a non-coding RNA of Cladobotryum mycophilum, 106 nucleotides long. The record is from the annotation of a GenBank genome assembly. NCBI's taxonomy places the organism in Eukaryota, Fungi, Ascomycota, Sordariomycetes, Hypocreales, Hypocreaceae.
GUCUUCGUGGCCCAGUUGGUUAGCGCGUCAGUCUCAUAUUUCUAAUAUGAUCCAAUCAUCAGAUUGGGAUAUCUGAAGGUCGUGAGUUCGAGCCUCACCGAGGACA